Molecule: unclassified non-coding RNA, 240 nt
Filed under: soil metagenome
Description: partial contains 5.8S ribosomal RNA, internal transcribed spacer 2, and large subunit ribosomal RNA
Source: RNAcentral
AACGAGGCCGACCUGCGGCUGAGUUACCUGCGGAGGGAUCAUUACCGAGUGAGGGCCCUCCGGGUCCAACCUCCCACCCGUGUUUAACGAACCUUGUUGCUUCGGCGGGCCCGCCUCACGGCCGCCGGGGGGCACCCCGCCCCCGGGCCCGCGCCCGCCGAAGACACCUGUGAACGCUGUCUGAAGUUGCAGUCUGAGACACUAGCUCAAUCAGUUAAAACUUUUAGCAAUGGAUCUCAG